GGCGGUAUAGCCAAGUGGUAAGGCAAUUGACUGCAAAUCUUUUAACGCCUCAGUUCGAUUCUGAGUACCGCCU
RNAcentral lists this transfer RNA (73 nucleotides) under Prototheca wickerhamii. Its description in RNAcentral is "tRNA-Cys". It matches the Rfam family "tRNA". From Rfam's summary of the family: Transfer RNA (tRNA) molecules are approximately 80 nucleotides in length. Their secondary structure includes four short double-helical elements and three loops (D, anti-codon, and T loops). The record is from RNAcentral. Lineage: Eukaryota; Viridiplantae; Chlorophyta; Trebouxiophyceae; Chlorellales; Chlorellaceae.